Molecule: ribosomal RNA, 754 nt
Filed under: unidentified microorganism
Description: bacterial SSU rRNA
Rfam family: Bacterial small subunit ribosomal RNA
Source: RNAcentral
ACACAUGCAAGUCGAGGGGUAUAAGGAAGCUUGCUCCUUAGAGACCGGCGCACGGGUGCGUAACGCGUAUGCAAUCUGCCUUCCACAAAGGAAUAGCCCAGAGAAAUUUGGAUUAAUGCCUUAUAGCAUCACGAGAUGGCAUCAUCAUGUGAUUAAAGAUUUAUCGGUGGAAGAUGAGCAUGCGUCCCAUUAGCUAGUUGGUAAGGUAACGGCUUACCAAGGCGAUGAUGGGUAGGGGUCCUGAGAGGGAGAUCCCCCACACUGGUACUGAGACACGGACCAGACUCCUACGGGAGGCAGCAGUGAGGAAUAUUGGUCAAUGGGCGCAAGCCUGAACCAGCCAUGCCGCGUGCAGGAUGAAGCAUCUAUGGUGUGUAAACUGCUUUUAUACAGGAAGAAACACUCCCUCGUGAGGGAGCUUGACGGUACUGUAGGAAUAAGGAUCGGCUAACUCCGUGCCAGCAGCCGCGGUAAUACGGAGGAUCCAAGCGUUAUCCGGAAUCAUUGGGUUUAAAGGGUCCGUAGGCGGCCCUGUAAGUCAGUGGUGAAAUCUCCCCGCUCAACGGGGAAACGGCCAUUGAUACUGCAGGGCUUGAAUUAUUGGGAAGUAACUAGAAUAUGUAGUGUAGCGGUGAAAUGCUUAGAUAUUACAUGGAAUACCGAUUGCGAAGGCAGGUUACUACCAAUACAUUGACGCUGAUGGACGAAAGCGUGGGUAGCGAACAGGAUUAGAUACCCUGGUAGUCCACGCCGU